Long non-coding RNA from Homo sapiens (human), 456 nucleotides. Ensembl annotates it as ATP8B1 antisense RNA 1. Its record names the gene ATP8B1-AS1. The record is from Ensembl. Lineage: Eukaryota; Metazoa; Chordata; Mammalia; Primates; Hominidae.
GCCGCCAUGUUGUCUCCGGGCCACUUCCGCGUUUCUGGCGCGUGGUCUUGCAUUUCCUACUUGGUCCUGUUCGUGGCGCCGCGCCUCCGGGUGUUGGGGAGUCCGGGAUGAUGGGGAAUCCGGGGCUCGCCCUAGUCGCGGGGACACCGCCUUCCAGGAGCUGUCCCCAGGCAAACUCACAGACAUCUUCAAAGAGCCUUCUUGGACAUUCUGCUUUUUGCUCCUCAUAACAGGCUUCGCCUUCAAACUGCUGAGAGCUGCUUGGUGGACCUCGUCUCUCAAUUUGCCCUUCCCACUAAACCUGUCUUCCCCCAACAGUGGGCUUUCUGGUCAGCAUUUCAGAAUGUCUCAAACCGUAGGUCCUUCCCACAGCCCCAAAUCUCAGCAAAUGACCAGUCUCUUGCUUCAAGCUAUUAAAUGGAUGCUGUCUGACAGCCCUCCCUUGAAACCUGCAAA